Molecule: unclassified non-coding RNA, 330 nt
Filed under: soil metagenome
Description: partial contains 5.8S ribosomal RNA, internal transcribed spacer 2, and large subunit ribosomal RNA
Rfam family: 5.8S ribosomal RNA (bases 1-120)
Source: RNAcentral
GAUGAAGAACGUAGCGAAAUGCGAUAAGUAAUGUGAAUUGCAGAAUUCAGUGAAUCAUCGAAUCUUUGAACGCACAUUGCGCCCCCUGGUAUUCCGGGGGGCAUGCCUGUUCGAGCGUCAUUUCACCACUCAAGUCUCGCUUGGUAUUGGGCAACGCGGUCCGCCGCGUGCCUCAAAUCGACCGGCUGGGUCUUCUGUCCCCUAAGCGUUGUGGAAACUAUUCGCUAAAGGGUGUUCGGGAGGCUACGCCGUAAAACAACCCCAUUUCUAAGGUUGACCUCGGAUCAGGUAGGGAUACCCGCUGAACUUAAGCAUAUAAUAAGCGGAGGA